Molecule: ribosomal RNA, 705 nt
Filed under: Arthrobacter sp. Desert1
Lineage: Bacteria; Bacillati; Actinomycetota; Actinomycetes; Micrococcales; Micrococcaceae
Description: bacterial SSU rRNA
Rfam family: Bacterial small subunit ribosomal RNA
Source: RNAcentral
CUUGCUGGGGGGAUUAGUGGCGAACGGGUGAGUAACACGUGAGUAACCUGCCCUUAACUCUGGGAUAAGCCUGGGAAACUGGGUCAAACCGGAUAUGACUCCUCAUCGCAUGGUGGGGGGUGGAAAGCUUUUUGUGGUUUUGGAUGGACUCGCGGCCUAUCAGCUUGUUGGUGAGGUAAUGGCUUACCAAGGCGACGACGGGUAGCCGGCCUGAGAGGGUGACCGGCCACACUGGGACUGAGACACGGCCCAGACUCCUACGGGAGGCAGCAGUGGGGAAUAUUGCACAAUGGGCGCAAGCCUGAUGCAGCGACGCCGCGUGAGGGAUGACGGCCUUCGGGUUGUAAACCUCUUUCAGUAGGGAAGAAGCGAAAGUGACGGUACCUGCAGAAGAAGCGCCGGCUAACUACGUGCCAGCAGCCGCGGUAAUACGUAGGGCGCAAGCGUUAUCCGGAAUUAUUGGGCGUAAAGAGCUCGUAGGCGGUUUGUCGCGUCUGCCGUGAAAGUCCGGGGCUCAACUCCGGAUCUGCGGUGGGUACGGGCAGACUAGAGUGAUGUAGGGGAGACUGGAAUUCCUGGUGUAGCGGUGAAAUGCGCAGAUAUCAGGAGGAACACCGAUGGCGAAGGCAGGUCUCUGGGCAUUAACUGACGCUGAGGAGCGAAAGCAUGGGGAGCGAACAGGAUUAGAUACCCUGGUAGUCCAUG